GAAGAUUUUCUUCCUUAUCUGCCGAUUCUGGGACUAACUCCGAAGUGAGAAUUCUCACUCUCUUAGCAUUCUGUCCACACCAGAGCUUUCUACCUUGUUCAUGUUGUUGCUGAAAGCCCUGUCCCGAUGCCAAUCCAAUAGUGAGGACAUGGUUUUGAGAAAAAGGAAAAGAGGUUUAUUGCUUGGGUAGCAAAGGAGAAACACAGGGAACUCCUGUCCCAAAGGCUAUGAUUCUGCCCAUCAUCAGGAACAGGGGAUUUUAUAGAGGUGAUUCAGAGAAAAGGAGAUCAGGGAAGAGAGAUCAGGGAGGAGAGAUCAGGGAGGAGAGAUCGGGGAGGAGAAGGUCAGGGGAAAGAUCAGAGAAGAGAGGGUCAGGAAAAUGGUUAGGGAAAGAAGAUCAGGGAGGAGAAGGCAGGGAGAAGGUGAUUAGGGCAAAGAGGAUCGGGAAGGAGGCUAGGGAAAAGAUCAUACAGGAGAAGCUCAAAGAAAUUUGGGAAAAAGAAAAAAUAUGUAAGUUUCAAAGCCACAAGGGAUACAGUCAAAGCAUCAAGUGACCCCUGUCACAGUUGGCCACCAUCGACUCGUGUGCCUCAGUGGCUCUCUGCCUCUCACUGGGUUGAGGAACUGGAGAUGCAGAAUUGAAGGAGAAAUGGCCCCUGCCCUUGAGGACUGGAGGGAGAAG
RNAcentral lists this long non-coding RNA (682 nucleotides) under Marmota monax (woodchuck). Lineage: Eukaryota; Metazoa; Chordata; Mammalia; Rodentia; Sciuridae. The record is from RNAcentral.